UACGUAGGGUGCGAGCGUUAAUCGGAAUUACUGGGCGUAAAGCGUGCGCAGGCGGUCCGCAAAGUCUGAUGUGAAAGCCCCGGGCUCAACCUGGGAACUGCAUUGGAAACUAACGGGCUCGAGUGUGGCAGAGGGGGGUGGAAUUCCACGUGUAGCAGUGAAAUGCGUAGAGAUGUGGAGGAACACCGAUGGCGAAGGCAGCCCCCUGGGCUAACACUGACGCUCAGGCACGAAAGCGUGGGAGCAAACCGG
RNAcentral lists this ribosomal RNA (252 nucleotides) under uncultured bacterium. Its description in RNAcentral is "partial 16S ribosomal RNA". It matches the Rfam family "Bacterial small subunit ribosomal RNA", at positions 524 to 776 of the family's 1533-position model. The record is from RNAcentral.